This 209-nucleotide long non-coding RNA is filed under the name Hordeum vulgare. RNAcentral's name for it is "long non-coding RNA (HVUL_LNC016834)". The record is from RNAcentral. Lineage: Eukaryota; Viridiplantae; Streptophyta; Magnoliopsida; Poales; Poaceae.
CCCGCCCCGCCCCGCCCCGCCGAGGCCUCAAUCGGCUCUCGCGUCGACCCUCGAGGGUUCCACCCUGCCUGCCACGCGGGGCCACCCUCCCAGCCGCAGCGCGUCGCGAGGGGGGCUCGCUCGAAACCCUAGCCGCCGCCCGCAAUGUCUCGCCGCGGCCGCGAGGAGGAGGACGAGGAGGUAGAGGAGGUAGAGGAGGAGGAGGGGAG